Molecule: ribosomal RNA, 434 nt
Filed under: uncultured bacterium
Lineage: Bacteria
Description: partial 16S ribosomal RNA
Rfam family: Bacterial small subunit ribosomal RNA
Source: RNAcentral
AGCGAACGCUGGCGGCAGGCCUAACACAUGCAAGUCGAACGAACCUUUCGGGGUUAGUGGCGGACGGGUGAGUAACACGUGGGAACGUGCCGUUAGGUUCGGAAUAACUCAGGGAAACUUGUGCUAAUACCGAAUGUGCCCUUCGGGGGAAAGAUUUAUCGCCUUUAGAGCGGCCCGCGUCUGAUUAGCUAGUUGGUUGAGGUAAUGGCUCACCAAGGCGACGAUCAGUAGCUGGUCUGAGAGGAUGAUCAGCCACAUUGGGACUGAGACACGGCCCAAAAUCCUACGGGAGGCAGCAGUGGGGAAUCUUGCGCAAUGGGCGAAAGCCUGACGCAGCCAUGCCGCGUGAAUGAUGAAGGUCUUAGGAUUGUAAAAUUCUUUCACCGGGGACGAUAAUGACGGUACCCGGAGAAGAAGCCCCGGCUAACUUCGUG